RNAcentral lists this small nuclear RNA (273 nucleotides) under Jaculus jaculus (lesser Egyptian jerboa). Its description in RNAcentral is "7SK RNA (ENSJJAG00000003924.1)". It matches the Rfam family "7SK RNA". From Rfam's summary of the family: 7SK was discovered as an abundant small nuclear RNA in the mid-70s but a possible function has only recently been suggested. Two independent studies have found that 7SK RNA binds the CDK9/cyclin T complex (known as elongation factor P-TEFb). Lineage: Eukaryota; Metazoa; Chordata; Mammalia; Rodentia; Dipodidae. The record is from Rfam by way of RNAcentral.
GGAUGUGAGGGUAAUCUGGCUGCAACAUCUGUCACUCCAUUGAUCACGAUUGCUAGGGUGGAUUCAGUUGAUCUGGCUGGCUAGGCAGGUAUCCCCUUCCUCCCUCACCACUCCUUAUAAACUGCUCUCUUGGUCAACCUUUCCUGUAUUGAGGACUGUUCUUUGGCCAAGAGCAUGCCAGUAGCUGAGUUCCCCUGCUAAAAACUUCCAACCAGGGUGCUGGAGAGAUGGCACAGCAGUUCAGGUACUUGCUUCCAAAGCCUAAUGACCAGU